AAUCUGCGAUAAGCGUCGGUAAGGUGAUAUGAACCGUUAUAACCGGCGAUUUCCGAAUGGGGAAACCCAGUGUGUUUCGACACACUAUCAUUAACUGAAUCCAUAGGUUAAUGAGGCGAACCGGGGGAACUGAAACAUCUAAGUACCCCGAGGAAAAGAAAUCAACCGAGAUUCCCCCAGUAGCGGCGAGCGAACGGGGAGCAGCCCAGAGCCUGAAUCAGUAUGUGUGUUAGUGGAAGCGUCUGGAAAGGCGCGCGAUACAGGGUGACAGCCCCGUACACAAAAAUGCACAUGCUGUGAGCUCGAUGAGUAGGGCGGGACACGUGGUAUCCUGUCUGAAUAUGGGGGGACCAUCCUCCAAGGCUAAAUACUCCUGACUGACCGAUAGUGAACCAGUACCGUGAGGGAAAGGCGAAAAGAACCCCGGCGAGGGGAGUGAAAAAGAACCUGAAACCGUGUACGUACAAGCAGUGGGAGCACGCUUAGGCGUGUGACUGCGUACCUUUUGUAUAAUGGGUCAGCGACUUAUAUUCUGUAGCAAGGUUAACCGAAUAGGGGAGCCGAAGGGAAACCGAGUCUUAACUGGGCGUUAAGUUGCAGGGUAUAGACCCGAAACCCGGUGAUCUAGCCAUGGGCAGGUUGAAGGUUGGGUAACACUAACUGGAGGACCGAACCGACUAAUGUUGAAAAAUUAGCGGAUGACUUGUGGCUGGGGGUGAAAGGCCAAUCAAACCGGGAGAUAGCUGGUUCUCCCCGAAAGCUAUUUAGGUAGCGCCUCGUGAAUUCAUCUCCGGGGGUAGAGCACUGUUUCGGCAAGGGGGUCAUCCCGACUUACCAACCCGAUGCAAACUGCGAAUACCGGAGAAUGUUAUCACGGGAGACACACGGCGGGUGCUAACGUCCGUCGUGAAGAGGGAAACAACCCAGACCGCCAGCUAAGGUCCCAAAGUCAUGGUUAAGUGGGAAACGAUGUGGGAAGGCCCAGACAGCCAGGAUGUUGGCUUAGAAGCAGCCAUCAUUUAAAGAAAGCGUAAUAGCUCACUGGUCGAGUCGGCCUGCGCGGAAGAUGUAACGGGGCUAAACCAUGCACCGAAGCUGCGGCAGCGACGCUGAUGCGUUGUUGGGUAGGGGAGCGUUCUGUAAGCCUGCGAAGGUGUGCUGUGAGGCAUGCUGGAGGUAUCAGAAGUGCGAAUGCUGACAUAAGUAACGAUAAAGCGGGUGAAAAGCCCGCUCGCCGGAAGACCAAGGGUUCCUGUCCAACGUUAAUCGGGGCAGGGUGAGUCGACCCCUAAGGCGAGGCCGAAAGGCGUAGUCGAUGGGAAACAGGUUAAUAUUCCUGUACUUGGUGUUACUGCGAAGGGGGGACGGAGAAGGCUAUGUUGGCCGGGCGACGGUUGUCCCGGUUUAAGCGUGUAGGCUGGU
RNAcentral lists this ribosomal RNA (1422 nucleotides) under Escherichia coli. RNAcentral's name for it is "partial 23S ribosomal RNA". It matches the Rfam family "Bacterial large subunit ribosomal RNA", at positions 63 to 1529 of the family's 2925-position model. Lineage: Bacteria; Pseudomonadati; Pseudomonadota; Gammaproteobacteria; Enterobacterales; Enterobacteriaceae. The record is from RNAcentral.